UUCAACAUAUUUUAACUUAUUUCAGGAAAAAUUAAGUUCAAAUAAAUUAAGAUAAUAUCGAAUAAAAUAGUUUAGUUAAGAUAAGAUAAGUUGAAUGAUACGGGAUAACUAUGUUAGGCAACACAAUAAACUAGAAUAUAUUCUAUAAUAUAAGAUAAGAUAUCCCCUAAAAAAAUAUAAGAUAAAAUAAGUUCAUAUAACGUAAAAUAAUUUCAGAUAACAUAAGAUACAUGACACAACAAGAAUCCGCCUUUUUAGCGUCUGAAUUUAGCGUCCGACGAUGCAAACGGACGGUAAAGGUGAAAUUAGCGUCCGAUAAAAGACAGAUGCAAAUUAGCGUCCGCUUUCUGAAAUUUAGCGUCCGUUCUUUUUAGCGGACGCUAUGUAGCGUCCGUUUACUUAAAAUACCGUCCGAAAGACGGACGCUAAAUAAGAGGUAUAAAUAAAUAAAAAAAUACCACCAAUCGACCAAACUAUCAACCCUAACCCACACCUCUCUCUUCCUCACUCUCAUCUCACGUUUCUAUCUCUUCCUCACUCUCAUCUCACAUUUUUGUGCUCUCUCCUUCUUUCAGAUCUCACGAAAUCAGCAUCCGUUUUCCACUUUUGUCUUUCAAGAUGAUGAGUAAGAGCAAUUUCAAGAUAGUAUCAAAUCAAGAGAUUGAAGUUGCGGCAUCUGGGAAAUAUUGGAAAGGCUCAGGCUUCAAGAUGAUGCUCAUAAACGUGGUUCCCGGUUCUUGACGGGACCAUCUGGACGCUCUUGGCAUGACUCAAAUGAAGGGUAGGUUUGCAUAUAUGUAGGCUGUAGCAAAGAAUGCUGCAGGAAUCAGAUUGAUGUACCACAGCUGAAAAUGUCAGCCAAGACAAGGAUGAGAAUAGGUGGCUGGCGCGGUGGAGGGGUGGCUGAUGCGGAGGAGAUGUGGUUGAUGCGCUGGUGAGGUUUCUGGUGGUGCGGUGGCUGGCCCGGUGGUGCAGUACCUCGGCAUUGGCAGUGGCUAGGACUAGUAUUAGAUUGAAGUUGUUGUAUUAGAUUUUAGUUACAAUGUAAUUAUACUAUUAUAGUACUAAAUUUUGGUAUUAGAUUGUAAUUAUAUAUUUAAUUUAAAUAAAAUUUUCAUUUGUUUAA
Long non-coding RNA from Beta vulgaris subsp. vulgaris (sugar beet), 1126 nucleotides. RefSeq lists it as uncharacterized. The record is from RefSeq and is a predicted model, not a curated record. Lineage: Eukaryota; Viridiplantae; Streptophyta; Magnoliopsida; Caryophyllales; Amaranthaceae. The transcript is spliced from 2 exons.